RNAcentral lists this ribosomal RNA (396 nucleotides) under Neisseria mucosa. RNAcentral's name for it is "bacterial SSU rRNA". It matches the Rfam family "Bacterial small subunit ribosomal RNA", at positions 383 to 774 of the family's 1533-position model. The record is from RNAcentral. Lineage: Bacteria; Pseudomonadati; Pseudomonadota; Betaproteobacteria; Neisseriales; Neisseriaceae.
CUGAUCAGCAUGCCGCGUGUCUGAGAAGGCCUUCGGGUUGUAAAGGACUUUUGUCAGGGAAGAAAAGGGCGGGGUUAAUACCCCUGUCUGAUGACGGUACCUGAAGAAUAAGCACCGGCUAACUACGUGCCAGCAGCCGCGGUAAUACGUAGGGUGCGAGCGUUAAUCGGAAUUACUGGGCGUAAAGCGGGCGCAGACGGUUACUUAAGCAGGAUGUGAAAUCCCCGGGCUCAACCUGGGAACUGCGUUCUGAACUGGGUGACUAGAGUGUGUCAGAGGGAGGUAGAAUUCCACGUGUAGCAGUGAAAUGCGUAGAGAUGUGGAGGAAUACCGAUGGCGAAGGCAGCCUCCUGGGAUAACACUGACGUUCAUGCCCGAAAGCGUGGGUAGCAAACA